UACGAAGGGGGCUAGCGUUGCUCGGAAUCACUGGGCGUAAAGGGUGCGUAGGCGGGCCUUUAAGUCAGGGGUGAAAUCCUGGAGCUCAACUCCAGAACUGCCUUUGAUACUGAAGAUCUUGAGUUCGGGAGAGGUGAGUGGAACUGCGAGUGUAGAGGUGAAAUUCGUAGAUAUUCGCAAGAACACCAGUGGCGAAGGCGGCUCACUGGCCCGAUACUGACGCUGAGACACGAAAGCGUGGGGAGCAAACAGG
This 253-nucleotide ribosomal RNA is filed under the name uncultured bacterium. Its description in RNAcentral is "partial 16S ribosomal RNA". It matches the Rfam family "Bacterial small subunit ribosomal RNA", at positions 524 to 776 of the family's 1533-position model. The record is from RNAcentral.